AAUACAUCAUCAAAUUGUCUUCAUCUUCCCCACUAGACUCAUUCAAAUCCACAAAGUUAGGCAUAUCAACCUUGACAGACAUAUUAGUAACAUUAUGCUCAACAAAAAUUUGUCCAUCAAUUCCUUCACCCACAGCAUAGAUGGCAAUCUCAUCUGCAAUGCUGUCUAGAUCAACUUGAACAAAGUCAUUCUCAAUCCUAUCCAUUUUACACCACAGCCUAAUCUCAUGGUCUUGAUAACCCCAGCUACACACAAGUUGCCUAAUAACACCUACUUUCCAAGCAUCUGGAACUAAGUCAGACACAAGGGUUUUAACC
RNAcentral lists this long non-coding RNA (317 nucleotides) under Medicago truncatula (barrel medic). RNAcentral's name for it is "long non-coding RNA (MTRU_LNC004697)". The record is from RNAcentral. Lineage: Eukaryota; Viridiplantae; Streptophyta; Magnoliopsida; Fabales; Fabaceae.